ACUCCUUAUUAUUGCUGGGUGGGGUGGAAGUCCAGUCUCCCCUCAUGAUCUUUAGUGAUGCUCUUGUGGAGUAAGAUUCAUUACUAGUCCAUGGGGAUGAAAGUUCUGGCUUCCUACUUGGCCUUCUCUGACACUAUCCAGUGGGGGUUUGGGGUGCUUCCUCUAUGGCCUUGAGAAUGUGAAAUUAAUUAAUUUCAUACAUCUCACAGUUACAUAUUUUUAAAAAAUUUUCUGAUACAAACAAUUCUCAUUUCAGAAGAAAAAUGACAACAGGUGAGCAGCAAACAAUUAAACAAAAUACAAUGUGUUAUAUUCUCAUCCUUUACUGAAUAGCUAAAAAAAAACCCACCACUUUAAAAUUAUCCCCUGACAAAGGUUAAUAAAUGGUUACCUGUUAUCAGUUAAAGAAGCAAGGAUAUGGGUACUGUCAGAUUACUACUGAAAUUGUAAAUCAACAAACUCUAUUAGUCUUAAAUGUCAUAAACUUUGACCCAGGAAUUAAUUUUCAAGGAAUUUUUCCUGAUGAAGUAAUUUGCUAUAAGAUAUAAUGAUUUAUAUACUAAGUUUUGUGACAGGGCUACUUAAAAGAUUUUGGAAAUAGCCUAUAUGAUCAGUAAUAAAGAUGGAUUAAAUAAUGGUCCAUGUCAUUAAAAUUAAUUUUUAGGAGACUGUUUAACAUGGAGGAAAUAGUCAUUAAAUAGGAGGGAAAAACAGAUUAUAAAACUGAGCAUACAAUAGAUUUAAUUAGACUUUGUUUUGUUUUUGGCAUUGUCGCUAGGGACCUGGAACUUAAAUUCUCUUUCAAGUGCAGAGAUAGAUCCAAGUGUUAAGGGGCCCUGAAGCUUACAUGGUUUAGGGGACCCUUUUUAAGAAAGAAUACAGAAUUGUGUACGCAGGUGAAUAUUUGUUUAGGAUAAGAAAAGAGGCAUUUGUAUAAACAAAGGACCUGAAAGCCCAGUCUUAACUCAUUUUGUGGUGAAUCUGCGUCUGCUCUAAAGUAUAAAAUUUGGUUUACAUACACUGAGACUUCAUUAAUCUUACUUAUAUCUUCUUCCUCUAUAUUUUUGAUUAUAUGCUGAAUUGUUUUUCUGAACUUCUCCCGAGUUUCUAAUAAUUCUUGCAUUGACUUACUUUUUGUCGUGUAAAUAAUUUUGUUUCAUUAAGCUUAAUGAUAUUAUAAAGUCUCAUUAUAGCUCAUGCCAAAUAAAUUUUACCAUGUUUAAUACUGAUGUUUUUAUCUUUCUUCUGCUGACUAAAUUUGUUGCAUUUUUUUGCUUACCCUUUUAUUAUUAACCUUCUAUUUUUUUUUUCUUUCUUUGGAGCCUGUUUGUUUUUUAAGGAAGCCUUAUAAGUUUAUUGCAGUUAUUUUGGUCUCAGUUUGGCCUCUUUGUAUUUUUCUCUCCUUACUUCUGUGUUUGACCUGUGUUGUAGGGUUGUUGUUUUUUUGUUUGUUUGUUUCACAGAAACUUUUAAGGAGUAGCAUCUAGUUUUACUACUGGUUGUGUGUGUGUGUGUGUUGGGGGAGGGAAUGUAAAUAACGUUUUCAUCCAUGAAUUUUUUUCUUCUGAGUUGUGGUUGUGAAUGUUUGUGAAUCUGUGAAGAGUUGGUUGGAAGAGACAAAUUAUGUACUGUAAGUUUUCUUUUUCCCUAAAGCAUUUAGAGAUUCCUUAAGUAAGGGAGAAUUCAUGUAGCUUGGGUUAUGUUGCGUAAAUUUGUAUUGUCACAAUUCAGUUGCAGUUUGACUGAUAACUUGUCUUUCAAAUGAAAUCACGUGAACUUGCCUAGGCUUAUAAUCCCCACAGUCCUUCUGGGGUCCUUUUAGGGAGUGUGUGUGUGUGUACAUUCAGGCAAUGCAAACUUAGGUUGCUUAGCUCUUAGUUGACUGGUGCCAAUUAAAAAGCAGUUUUGCUAAUACAUAUUAAAGUGCUUCCCAACCUAACACAUCGCUUGCCUUUCUAGUGUUAGUAAUGACAAUUUGUAUUUGCUCUUUAAACAUUUAGGAAGGCCUUGGAACUGAUCCCCACUCCCAUGGAAUAAAGUUAGUAGAAAGAACAAGACUGUUUUACUACCUCUUACUCCGAACAAGACAACUUCCUUUAUUUUGCAUUUUUGGGUGGUGGUUAUAGCACUUGUUUUGAGNNNNNNNNNNNNNNNNNNNNNNNNNNNNNNNNNNNNNNNNNNNNNNNNNNNNNNNNNNNNNNNNNNNNNNNNNNNNNNNNNNNNNNNNNNNNNNNNNNNUGCAUUUUUGGGUGGUGGUUAUAGCACUUGUUUUGAGGUUUGACCACCCUCUCAGUUAUUUUUAUUUUUUCAUGUCACUUUAAGUAUACCCUGUGGUGUUUUAACUAUAAUAUCAUCUUUAAUGAAAUUCAUGCAUGUAUGUUAUGUCUUAAAACAUCGCUUGUUUUGACUUAAUUUGGCUUGUUUUAUGCUAUCUCUGCUUUAUGGUUUUUUUUAAAACAAUUGAAUGCUUAUUUUUCCACAGCCAAACUCAUACUCUUAAUAGGUUUGCAGUGUUUGUUUUCUCUGUUUAACAUAUAAAUGAUUUAAGAUAUGACAUAAGUUACAACUGCUUGGUUUGCUAAGGCUACUCACCCUUCCACCCGCAGCAGCUCAGCAGAGUACAGAUGUUUUGCCCUUAUUGGAAACUAUAUCCUAAAUUCAGUUAACUCCUAAUCUUAUGUUAGCUGGAAUAAAGAUAUAGUAGAACUUUUGUCCUUUAAAAUUGUUUUUCUUACCACUGUUUAGCUUUCACAGGGCUUAUUGAACAAAUUUCAGAAUCGGUGAAACUUUGUGAAUAAUUUGCAAUCUUUUUUAAAACUUUAAUAGAAUUGGAAAACAUAUAUUCCCUGAAAUAAGUUUCACUCUCAACAAUUGGUGUAGUUUAGUCCAGCAUGUGCCAUAACUUUUAAUUUAAAAUAGAAGUGUCUUAUAAAAUAGUUAA
Molecule: long non-coding RNA, 2941 nt
Filed under: Capra hircus (goat)
Lineage: Eukaryota; Metazoa; Chordata; Mammalia; Artiodactyla; Bovidae
Description: lncRNA (ENSCHIG00010027832.1)
Source: RNAcentral